UGUUUCUGAGCAGACCCAGGAUCUAAGCCCUGUCCUGUUUCAAUAUCUGAAGAAAGCUAUGUACCAAGUUCCGUCCAAGAUGGAUAAUCCAAACCUGAGAUUCUCCAAACCAUGAUUACUUCACAGGACUUUUUUCUCUUCAGGCCCCUGAGCAAACCAGCAGGUGCACCACAAGAUAGAGAGUAAGCCUCUGGGUGAAAUGUUACCGAUCAGGCUGCUGAUCCAAUUUACACACCUAGCAGAUGCAUGUUUCCUCUUAGGAUGUACUUGGUACAGAGAAGAUCUGGGUUCCCUGACUGGUGCGUGUGUGAGGCUGCUUCCAGGAACUGCAGGAAUAGACCUUUCCCAACCGCAGGAAUAGACCUUUCCCAUAAGCAAGUUGUCCUGUUGAUCCCGAGUCCAAGAAUGGCCCUGUCUUCCCAGGUAGAAGGACAAUGGAAGUGGAUGAGGAUUUUUAUUAGCUCGACCCCAAGAUACCUGAAGAACUACAUUCCUAAGAAAGGAUAAAGGUUACUUUCCAAAUGUGGACUCAAAAUACACUGAAGUGAUGACGACUUCUGCAUUUUCAUUGGUCUGCUUGCGUCUGCCUUCCUUUCCUGUGGAAAUAGAAGAUAUGGGCAGGAGAAAAGACAUAUUUGGUAAUGUUUCUCUUCAAAGCUUCUAUUUCACAAGGCUGCCUCAGCUGCAAAAUGUUAAGGGGAAAAAAAGAUCUUGGAACUAAUUCCAGACAGACCCUAAUGCCUACAAAUUUCUCUAGGUAAGCCAAGUCCAGAGAGGCAAAACAUGAAGGUUCAUUAUUUGACUGCUAAGGACACUCAAAUAACCAGACACACCAGUACUUAAGAUCUUCAUAUUUCAGACAGCUCGUCUUUCACAUCCUCCCUCAUCCUGUGCUCCCACCCGGCUCACUUCUUAUGUUUCCCUUCAUCUUCAGCAACUCCACUGCAUUUAAAAUUGUUUAUAGAACAUACGGAAAUACAAAAAUAUUCUUUAAGAUACUGAUGGGGAAACAGUCUGUUCAUCUACUUGUCUAUUUGGUGGGGACACUUACAGCUCCCCUAAUUGCUUCAGCUAGUUGGUUGCUAGUUGUUUUUCUUCCUCUCCAGAAACUCCAAAAGAGCUUGGUGGGUCUCUUUUUAUCUUGUUUUAAUAAGAAUUGACUGAGGGAAUGCUAUGGAGGUUAGCAUAUUGGGCAGAUGUCUCUGACUCGUCUUUCUUCCAGAGCUGCUCUCAGGGCAGGAUUUGGAGCGGCUGUAUUCAGUUUCAAGGUUUUUUGGGGAGCUACUUCUGGAGCAUCACAGGACUGCUUAACCAACAGCCACCAUCCCAGGCCAGAAAGGUGGACAACUUAUGUUCCCUCCAUUCAGUGCAUAUCCAAGAUAGCCCAGAGACCUAUGCAGGACAAAAAUGAUUGCAAGUUGUAAAUUUUUCAGUAAAACCUCUGUUUUAGCUCUUGCCAAAACAACUCACAAAUUCAUCGAAAACCUCUUACUAGUUCUCUCAGGAAAAAGUGUACUUCAGCUACUCUCAGAUGUAUAGGAGUAAACCUGAAAGAGAGACAGACACUCCCAAUCUGUCUAAUAUUUUUCAAUAUUACCUAUUACAAUUCAGCUGAUCCUAACGUAAUUUAUGAAAUUAAUCAGCAUUAAUUUCUUGUUCUAAAGCAUGUUAUACAUUCUGAAAUGGCCUAUCAGUGGAUAUUUGAAUAUAAUGAUCCUUUCCCUUAUUUCUUUUCAGUGAGGCUUAAUCAAUUUUCUGUGAGAUGGAAGCUGAAUGCAGUGGUGAACAGAAGCUGGUAUGUGUUUUUGAAGCUGAAUGCAGAAUUGCAAGCUUUUUUUUUCCCCUACAGUUUUCUCAAAUCAUAUUUCAUUGCUCGUGGAUUCUUAUUAGUAGAUUCUCAGUUAAUAUCCUCAGUCUCCUCCAACAUUUAGGAAGCUUGAACGUGUCCUAUGUCCUGUUGCCAUAAGCUGCAUUUAGUCUGAUGAGUGACUCUAUUACAAUAUAAAAACUUAAAGGAGUGGUUAGCAUGCAGACAUUUUGCAUUCGUAUUUAAUAAUGUUGUUUAUAAUACUGAAAUAAUAGCUGUUUCCACAGUUUUGAAUGCCAAAAGUGGUUAUUCAGAUAUCUAAUCUAACCUCCUAUAUAAUGCAGCCUAUAGAACUGGGUUGUUUGGCUAACAAACAGUGGACUUUUACAGCACAAUCAAUUAACUGUCUGCAGCUGCGAAGUUACAUAAAACAGCUUUUCUCCUUCCUCCUCCAGUGGACUGAGGAAGAAACUGUAGUCUAGAAGUUGCUUUGUAAGAAUACUGUUUAGAGUAUGAGUAGAACAGACAGAAAUACGAGAAAAGCUCUGAGACUGCCAAAAAUCUCAUUUUUUGGAAGAGCAGCCCUAGGGCUUUUAGAAAUGCUAUUUAAAUGAGAUAAUUUCUGUCUCACUAGAAAAUAAAUAUUCCCUGACAUUAAAAAUAUUUGCGGAC
Molecule: long non-coding RNA, 2479 nt
Organism: Struthio camelus australis
Lineage: Eukaryota; Metazoa; Chordata; Aves; Struthioniformes; Struthionidae
Source: Ensembl